AUACUUAGCUAGCAGGAGCGAUACCAUAAUCAUUAACGUGGUUUUCCCAGGGUGAGGCUUAUCCAUUGCACUUCCCUGUGAUCUCCCCAUUAAAAAAAAAAAAAAAAAAAAAGAUUCAAGAUUUGAGGCAGAACACUGUCCCUUUUGACCUGCAGGUUUGAUUCUGC
Piliocolobus tephrosceles (Ugandan red Colobus) is the source of this 167-nucleotide small nuclear RNA. Its record names the gene U1. It matches the Rfam family "U1 spliceosomal RNA". Rfam says of the family: U1 is a small nuclear RNA (snRNA) component of the spliceosome (involved in pre-mRNA splicing). The record is from Ensembl. Lineage: Eukaryota; Metazoa; Chordata; Mammalia; Primates; Cercopithecidae.